Molecule: transfer RNA, 74 nt
Filed under: Caudoviricetes sp.
Lineage: Duplodnaviria; Heunggongvirae; Uroviricota; Caudoviricetes
Description: tRNA-Met
Rfam family: tRNA
About the family: Transfer RNA (tRNA) molecules are approximately 80 nucleotides in length. Their secondary structure includes four short double-helical elements and three loops (D, anti-codon, and T loops). Further hydrogen bonds mediate the characteristic L-shaped molecular structure. tRNAs have two regions of fundamental functional importance: the anti-codon, which is responsible for specific mRNA codon recognition, and the 3' end, to which the tRNAs corresponding amino acid is attached (by aminoacyl-tRNA synthetases). tRNAs cope with the degeneracy of the genetic code in two manners: having more than one tRNA (with a specific anti-codon) for a particular amino acid; and 'wobble' base-pairing, i.e. permitting non-standard base-pairing at the 3rd anti-codon position.
Source: RNAcentral
GGCAGUGUAGCUUAGAUGGUUAGAGCGCACGGCUCAUACCCGUGAGGUCAUUAGUUCAAAUCUAAUCACUGUCA